GUCUACUAAUGCUUUUGUUUGGUUUACCGUCUCUUCAUUCGGCCGUAUUACUUAAAGCGUUUCUAUCCCCUCAAACGCGUAAUAUGGAUUCAGUGCUGAAAGCUUGGAAUGGCCAUUCCGACUAUCGCCGAAUAGAAAUGAAGAAAAUUCUUCCCAAAAUCUCCUUCAUACUUUCUCUGCAAAUGCGUUCAAAAUUGCUUCUUUUAUCACAACAAUACAAUUUCAGUAUUUCAAAUUUGGAGAUAUGGUGCAACAAACGAAAAUUUAUUAAGAAAUAUACAUUAUAGUGCUUUGGAGCAGACACAAAUUGAAGUCCAGACACUAGAGGGUCAAACGAAACCAGAAGUUCUUCUAGCGGGCAGUAUAGAUGGCUCUUUCAGGUCAGGGUUGAAAGCUGAAAUUGGAAUACUCUUUCCUAGGAUAUUUUUCUCUGGCAUGAAUCAGUGCAGUGCUUAGUUAGCAUCAUUAAGUCAAUGGGAGCUUGGAUGGAUCAAGAGCUGAAGAUAGGUGAUUCUGACUUGUCUAGGAGCUCCGAGAGUGACACUUCAUCAGAGAGACCUUCAACCUCGAUUGCAGAAGAUAGAGUUGUCCCUGAUUGUGAGUUGCAUCCAAAAAUGAAUUUUGAAUUGUCAGAUACUGCUACGCUUGAGCAACAUCGGGCUUACAAGAUUGAACUCCAAGUCAGUAAUUUUUUUAUAUUGGGAUAAGUAUGAGUGGUUCUUCAAGUAGCAGUUACUUAUCUAGUACUGAAACUGUCACAGAGGGUUGCCUAAAUAUAUCAUUAUAAUUUGCCAUAUUACUAUUGACUUCUCUUCAGUCAUGUAUUUUUAUGUAGCGUAAUUUUAUGUGUAGCUCUCCUUUUCUUUUACAAGCUUAAUUUUACUGACCAACUUUACUGGGUUACAUGCAAAAUGGUAGCUCAUUAUUUAACAGGAAUCCUUUUAAAGGCAUCGAGUUUCUUAUAAAUACAUGCAGAUGAGAGCUUUAUUGCCUGAUAGACCAGGCUCUUCUUCAGCCAAGUUAAAUAGUUCCAUCACUAUUUCAUUCUUGAGAUAUUCCAAUAGAAGCACAAAGCGUUUCUGAUCCACAUUGUAUACAACAAAAUCGCCCUGCUCAACUGCUGUCGACAUGCUACAACUGUUUGCGUCAGUAUCUGAGGUGGCACUUGAUGAUGUUAAUAGGAAAGAACUCCGAGAUGAAAGGAAAAAGAGGGAUGAUUUAGGCUUGAAACUCUUCUGGAUAUAAAGCAAUGGAAAUUUGAUGAAUAUAUAACUAGAAGGCAAACAUGGAGAACCACUUUCAUAACAUAGAAAAUCAAAUCAAUCAACGUACGGUUUUAGUGUAGCAGAUUAGAACCUCAAGAAGUUGACCAAGAGGUGGUCGCUCUCAAGGAAUUAACACUGCUUUUCUGAAUAAUAACACAAUAUGCAUACUUAUGUAGCUUUUUUUUAUGGUAUAAUGACAUGAUAGAAUGUGAUUACAAUGUUGUAACUUUUGAUGUUGUAAAAUUUUAUAUCAUAUGAAUUAUGACAUAUAAACUAAUGAAAUCAUGUAACUUUUUGUUAAUAUAUGAAUAUUAUGUUUAGAUGUGAAAUAUAA
Molecule: long non-coding RNA, 1599 nt
Organism: Gossypium arboreum
Lineage: Eukaryota; Viridiplantae; Streptophyta; Magnoliopsida; Malvales; Malvaceae
Exons: 5
Source: RefSeq, a predicted model, not a curated record